GACGAACGCUGGCGGCGCGCUUAACACAUGCAAGUCGAGCGAGAACCAGGGCUUCGGCCCUGGGGACAGCGGCGAACGGGUGAGUAACACGUGGAUAACCUGCCCUCGGCACCGGGAUAGCCCGGGGAAACCCGGAUUAAUACCGGAUGGCCCUUCCGGCUCACGAGCCGGUCGGAAAAGGUAGCUUUCGCAUCCGGCCGAGGAUGGGUCGGCGGCGGAUUAGCUUGUUGGUGGGGUAACGGCCCACCAAGGCUCCGAUCCGUAGCUGGUCUGAGAGGACGAUCAGCCACACUGGGACUGAGACACGGCCCAGACUCCUACGGGAGGCAGCAGUGGGGAAUCUUGCGCAAUGGGCGAAAGCCUGACGCAGCGACGCCGCGUGAGGGAGGAAGGCCUUCGGGUUGUAAACCUCUUUCAGGAGGGACGAAGCUACUCGGGUGAAUAGCCCAGAGGGUGACGGUACCUCCAGAAGAAGCCCCGGCUAACUACGUGCCAGCCGCCGCGGUAA
Molecule: ribosomal RNA, 508 nt
Filed under: uncultured bacterium
Lineage: Bacteria
Description: partial 16S ribosomal RNA
Rfam family: Bacterial small subunit ribosomal RNA
Source: RNAcentral